RNAcentral lists this ribosomal RNA (2922 nucleotides) under Escherichia coli. RNAcentral describes it as "bacterial LSU rRNA". It matches the Rfam family "Bacterial large subunit ribosomal RNA". The record is from RNAcentral. Lineage: Bacteria; Pseudomonadati; Pseudomonadota; Gammaproteobacteria; Enterobacterales; Enterobacteriaceae.
GGGUUGUGAGGUUAAGCGACUAAGCGUACACGGUGGAUGCCCUGGCAGUCAGAGGCGAUGAAGGACGUGCUAAUCUGCGAUAAGCGUCGGUGAGGUGAUAUGAACCGUUAUAACCGGCGAUUUCCGAAUGGGGAAACCCAGUGUGUUUCGACACACUAUCAUUAACUGAAUCCAUAGGUUAAUGAGGCGAACCGGGGGAACUGAAACAUCUAAGUACCCCGAGGAAAAGAAAUCAACCGAGAUUCCCCCAGUAGCGGCGAGCGAACGGGGAGGAGCCCAGAGCCUGAAUCAGUGUGUGUGUUAGUGGAAGCGUCUGGAAAGGCGCGCGAUACAGGGUGACAGCCCCGUACACAAAAAUGCACAUACUGUGAGCUCGAUGAGUAGGGCGGGACACGUGGUAUCCUGUCUGAAUAUGGGGGACCAUCCUCCAAGGCUAAAUACUCCUGACUGACCGAUAGUGAACCAGUACCGUGAGGGAAAGGCGAAAAGAACCCCGGCGAGGGGAGUGAAAAAGAACCUGAAACCGUGUACGUACAAGCAGUGGGAGCCUCUUAAUGGGGUGACUGCGUACCUUUUGUAUAAUGGGUCAGCGACUUAUAUUCUGUAGCAAGGUUAACCGAAUAGGGGAGCCGAAGGGAAACCGAGUCUUAACUGGGCGUUAAGUUGCAGGGUAUAGACCCGAAACCCGGUGAUCUAGCCAUGGGCAGGUUGAAGGUUGGGUAACACUAACUGGAGGACCGAACCGACUAAUGUUGAAAAAUUAGCGGAUGACUUGUGGCUGGGGGUGAAAGGCCAAUCAAACCGGGAGAUAGCUGGUUCUCCCCGAAAGCUAUUUAGGUAGCGCCUCGUGAAUUCAUCUCCGGGGGUAGAGCACUGUUUCGGCAAGGGGUCAUCCCGACUUACCAACCCGAUGCAAACUGCGAAUACCGGAGAAUGUUAUCACGGGAGACACACGGCGGGUGCUAACGUCCGUCGUGAAGAGGGAAACAACCCAGACCGCCAGCUAAGGUCCCAAAGUCAUGGUUAAGUGGGAAACGAUGUGGGAAGGCCCAGACAGCCAGGAUGUUGGCUUAGAAGCAGCCAUCAUUUAAAGAAAGCGUAAUAGCUCACUGGUCGAGUCGGCCUGCGCGGAAGAUGUAACGGGGCUAAACCAUGCACCGAAGCUGCGGCAGCGACACUAUGUGUUGUUGGGUAGGGGAGCGUUCUGUAAGCCUGUGAAGGUGGCCUGUGAGGGUUGCUGGAGGUAUCAGAAGUGCGAAUGCUGACAUAAGUAACGAUAAAGCGGGUGAAAAGCCCGCUCGCCGGAAGACCAAGGGUUCCUGUCCAACGUUAAUCGGGGCAGGGUGAGUCGACCCCUAAGGCGAGGCCGAAAGGCGUAGUCGAUGGGAAACAGGUUAAUAUUCCUGUACUUGGUGUUACUGCGAAGGGGGACGGAGAAGGCUAUGUUGGCCGGGCGACGGUUGUCCCGGUUUAAGCGUGUAGGCUGGUUUUCCAGGCAAAUCCGGAAAACCAAGGCUGAGGCGUGAUGACGAGGCACUACGGUGCUGAAGCGACAAAUGCCCUGCUUCCAGGAAAAGCCUCUAAGCAUCAGGUAACAUCAAAUCGUACCCCAAACCGACACAGGUGGUCAGGUAGAGAAUACCAAGGCGCUUGAGAGAACUCGGGUGAAGGAACUAGGCAAAAUGGUGCCGUAACUUCGGGAGAAGGCACGCUGAUAUGUAGGUGAAGCGACUUGCUCGUGGAGCUGAAAUCAGUCGAAGAUACCAGCUGGCUGCAACUGUUUAUUAAAAACACAGCACUGUGCAAACACGAAAGUGGACGUAUACGGUGUGACGCCUGCCCGGUGCCGGAAGGUUAAUUGAUGGGGUUAGCGGCAACGCGAAGCUCUUGAUCGAAGCCCCGGUAAACGGCGGCCGUAACUAUAACGGUCCUAAGGUAGCGAAAUUCCUUGUCGGGUAAGUUCCGACCUGCACGAAUGGCGUAAUGAUGGCCAGGCUGUCUCCACCCGAGACUCAGUGAAAUUGAACUCGCUGUGAAGAUGCAGUGUACCCGCGGCAAGACGGAAAGACCCCGUGAACCUUUACUAUAGCUUGACACUGAACAUUGAGCCUUGAUGUGUAGGAUAGGUGGGAGGCUUUGAAGUGUGGACGCCAGUCUGCAUGGAGCCGACCUUGAAAUACCACCCUUUAAUGUUUGAUGUUCUAACGUUGGCCCGUAAUCCGGGUUGCGGACAGUGUCUGGUGGGUAGUUUGACUGGGGCGGUCUCCUCCUAAAGAGUAACGGAGGAGCACGAAGGUUGGCUAAUCCUGGUCGGACAUCAGGAGGUUAGUGCAAUGGCAUAAGCCAGCUUGACUGCGAGCGUGACGGCGCGAGCAGGUGCGAAAGCAGGUCAUAGUGAUCCGGUGGUUCUGAAUGGAAGGGCCAUCGCUCAACGGAUAAAAGGUACUCCGGGGAUAACAGGCUGAUACCGCCCAAGAGUUCAUAUCGACGGCGGUGUUUGGCACCUCGAUGUCGGCUCAUCACAUCCUGGGGCUGAAGUAGGUCCCAAGGGUAUGGCUGUUCGCCAUUUAAAGUGGUACGCGAGCUGGGUUUAGAACGUCGUGAGACAGUUCGGUCCCUAUCUGCCGUGGGCGCUGGAGAACUGAGGGGGGCUGCUCCUAGUACGAGAGGACCGGAGUGGACGCAUCACUGGUGUUCGGGUUGUCAUGCCAAUGGCACUGCCCGGUAGCUAAAUGCGGAAGAGAUAAGUGCUGAAAGCAUCUAAGCACGAAACUUGCCCCGAGAUGAGUUCUCCCUGACUCCUUGAGGGUCCUGAAGGAACGUUGAAGACGACGACGUUGAUAGGCCGGGUGUGUAAGCGCAGCGAUGCGUUGAGCUAACCGGUACUAAUGAACCGUGAGGCUUAACCUUACAACGCCGAAG